RNAcentral lists this ribosomal RNA (309 nucleotides) under Bacillus thuringiensis. RNAcentral's name for it is "bacterial SSU rRNA". It matches the Rfam family "Bacterial small subunit ribosomal RNA", at positions 467 to 771 of the family's 1533-position model. The record is from RNAcentral. Lineage: Bacteria; Bacillati; Bacillota; Bacilli; Caryophanales; Bacillaceae.
CCUUGACGGUACCUACCCAGAAAGCCCCGGCUAACUACGUGCCAGCAGCCGCGGUAAUACGUAGGUGGCAAGCGUUAUCCGGAAUUAUUGGGCGUAAAGCGCGCGCAGGUGGUUUCUUAAGUCUGAUGUGAAAUCCCCCGGCUCAACCGUGGAGGGUCAUUCGAAACUGGGAGACUUGAGUGCAGAAGAGGAAAGUGGAAUUUCCAUGUGUAGCGGUGAAAUGCGUAGAUAUAGUGAGAGGAACACCAGUGGCGAAGGCGACCUUCUGGUCUGUAUACUGACACUGAGGCGCGAAAGGCGUGGGAGCAA